UUCCAGACUCCUACGGGAGGCAGCAGUGAGGAAUAUUGGUCAAUGGGCUUACGCCUGAACCAGCCAAGUCGCGUGAGGGAAGACUGCCCUAUGGGUUGUAAACCUCUUUUGUCAGGGAGCAAUUGGCGCUACGUGUAGCGUUAUCGAGAGUACCUGAAGAAAAAGCAUCGGCUAACUCCGUGCCAGCAGCCGCGGUCAUACGUAGGAUCCGAGCAUUAUCCGGAGUGACUGGGUGUAAAGAGUUGCGUAGGUGGCAUAAUAAGUAGCUAGUGAAAUCUGGUGGCUCAACCAUUCAGACUAUUAGCUAAACUGUUAAGCUCGAGACCGUUAGGGGUAACUGGAAUUUCUAGUGUAGGAGUGAAAUCCGUAGAUAUUAGAAGGAACACCAAUAGCGUAGGCAGGUUGCUGGGACGGUUCUGACACUAAGGCACGAAAGCGUAGGGAGCAAACGGGAUUAGAUACCCUAGUA
RNAcentral lists this ribosomal RNA (469 nucleotides) under uncultured bacterium. RNAcentral's name for it is "bacterial SSU rRNA". It matches the Rfam family "Bacterial small subunit ribosomal RNA", at positions 329 to 792 of the family's 1533-position model. The record is from RNAcentral.